CAUUUGAUUGGUGACUUGUAUGAAGGAUUGGAUGAAAUAUAAACUGUUUCUUAUUUAGGUGUAGAAUUUAAUUUUUUAAUUAAAAAGUUAAAAUUAUUUAAAAAGACGAGAAGACCCUAUAGAGUUUUAUAAAUAAAUUAAUUAAGAUUAUUUAUUAAUAUAAAAUUAAAAUUAUAUUAUUUAUUGUGUUGGGGUGAUAGAAAAAUAAAUAAAACUUUUUUUAAAUAAAAACAUAUAUAAGUGAUUUAAAUGAUCCAGUAUUAUUGAUUAUAAGAAAAAAUUACCUUAGGGAUAACAGCGUAAUUUUUUUUUUUAGUUCAUAUAAAAAAAAGAGUUUGCGACCUCGAUGUUGGAUUAAGAUAAAAUUUAAAUGUAGAAG
RNAcentral lists this ribosomal RNA (379 nucleotides) under Buakea obliquifascia. RNAcentral describes it as "partial 16S large subunit ribosomal RNA". The record is from RNAcentral. Lineage: Eukaryota; Metazoa; Arthropoda; Insecta; Lepidoptera; Noctuidae.